Long non-coding RNA from Peromyscus californicus insignis, 3296 nucleotides. RefSeq lists it as uncharacterized. The record is from RefSeq and is a predicted model, not a curated record. NCBI's taxonomy places the organism in Eukaryota, Metazoa, Chordata, Mammalia, Rodentia, Cricetidae. The transcript has 2 exons.
GGAACAGGUUGCAGUCAGCCUAGCUAGCGCUGGCAGGGCACGGGACUUAUCCACGAACCGAACUUCCUCACCAAAGACCAGCUCCCCCCAGUCCCGGCCCGCCUGGCUACAGGGGGCAGAGACGAUGUUUAAAGGUAGGAUCAAGGAACACAGCACAACAGCGCAGCAGCGCAGCAAGGUGGCCAAGAAUCCGAGAGGGACGCGGGGGAGGGGCUCCGAGAGUCCAACGUGGUGAGGCCGGUUUGGCUUACGGAUUCAUUUGACCGGAGGCUAACUAGGCAAGGGUCCAAGGAUGAGUCGCAGUUCCCUUCCGUUCCCCUCCGAGUGAUGCAGAAGAGAUGCGGGCUGCAGCUGGUGGUGCCUGCGGAAUCUCUGCAACAGAUCAAGGACCUGUCCUGGAACGCUGUCCUUGGUACUGGCAGAGAAGGGUACCCAGUGCGGUUCCUCUUUCAAUACCCUGCAUAGUGUCCUGCUAGCUGCUGCUCUAGUGGAGGGUAGGGACCUUGUACACCCCUUACCAGGACCUUGUAGUCACUCUAGGCUCCACUACCAGCAGCAGGGAUACCCAGGGCGAAGAAAGUACCCUCUGCUAAACCCACACUUGACAUCCUGUAGGCACCAUAGAGGAGCUCAGACUCCUGUGGCCUCUGCUUCUCUGGGACCUUCUGUCCUGUCUAUCCUAAGGGACCUUACAAGGCCACCUUCUAGGCUGGACUCUAGCAGAACCCUGUGCCUUACUUCCUGGCAGGCGGCCCAGAUAUUCCAGUCCCUAGACCGUGGGCCUGAGCAAAACUUCCAUCAAAAUCCUAACCAAGGGGUUCUCCCACCCACCAUCACCUUUUACCUUCAAAUAAGGUCCACUGACUUUCUCAAAUCUACUCCAUUCAAAAGGAAAAAAAACAGAACAAAAUGAGUGUCUGAGCUGCGGAGGUAGGAAAGACAAGCUUUGAACCCCAGGGAAAGAAGCUCUGUGUCUAGCAACCUAGUCUUUGCCCACAGGAGACCCCGGGGACAGUUUAUCCCUGUCCCCUCCCAUUGUCUACACUAGCUGGAGCAUACUCUGCUAGGCUGAUCCCCAGCUUUGGCGUCAACACAUAGUUGUAUCCAUGUUUCCCCUAAGUGAGCAAUGGAAGAGGUGAGGGUAACGAGUGAUUGAGGACAUAGCAAAGGUUGGACCAAAGCCCAGAUGCUGGAAUCCAUGGGUGAGUGUGGUGUCACAGGACUGAAAGGCAGUAUCCCUGUGUGAAAUUAACUGACGUCUGAGUGUGAGGCAUGUGUAUGUGUCUGUGUGGGCAAGGCCACAUGAGCACUGGCACAUGCCUAUUGUAUGAGAGCUUUGAGUGCUUUAAGUCCAUGAGUGUGUGAUGGAAAAGGCUCUGUGUGUAAGAAAUCCAAAGAAAUGGUCUCAACACAGGCACUCCUUGCAGGUACCACUACCCUAAGGAACAGCAUGUUGACGUUGGGAUUCAGGAGAGCCCAUUUCAAACCAAAUUACUAUUGGAGUUGUAUCAGCUCCACCUGUUACUGUGAUCUUACUUCACAGAACAGCCUAAUAGGAGGCAGAAGUGAAGGGGGUGACCAGGAAGUCCCAUUGGGCAGUCACCUAGAACUAGUCACAAGUGGCUGUCUCAGGAUUCUGUAAACUUCAUGGGACCAAAGUAGCUGCUUUCCAGGAGACCCAUAAUCCACAGCACAGAAGCCAUACCAAUCAUUCGUUUAACAAAUAUUUUCACAUGCAUUCCCCACAACAGACACUAUUUUAGACAUUGGGUAUUCAAUAAUGAGCCAUAUGGACGAUGACAUAAACGAUGUAUCUUUCGGAACGUAAAUGAGAUUGUGUAGCUUUGCUGCCUCUGCUCUAAAAUCUCUCACUUUUGUGUCGAGACAUCACACCUUUCUUUCCUUCCUGGCCAUGCCUUCCUUCCAGUCUACUUGUUAAACAUGGCAUGGUGGCCUUUUACCCUCCAACGGUGUUUCUGAGGAUGAUGAAGGACCCCUGACUCAUCUCUUUACUCACCAAGCAGAGAUCUAGUACUGAUCCUGUUUCCUUUUUCUACCAUACCCUGAGUUCUGUGUGACUGCUGCAAUUCUUUAGAGGCCCAGGAUAUGCAAGGCAAUAUACAUGGCAGCGAGGGGACCUAGUGGGGCUGAGUCCAGCUUUCCUGCAGGGGCAAGCUGUAUAAAUGCCCAAGAGAGUUCCCUUGGAAACAGGAAUGGCUCUGUCGGGGAGUUCAUGGGAAGUCUCGGAGAAGCAGUCCAGGAAGACUAGGGAAAAUAUUAUGGCAUCAAUAGCUUUGGAAAGUGACUUGGCUUAAGAACAGCAAAGCUGGAGGAAGGCAUGUUCCUUCCUCUUCAUCCCCAACCUGGAUGUUGCAGCUUUUGAGAGCCUUGAGAUCUAUGGGUUUCUAUACUGGCUUCAUAUUCUCUACUCCCCUACUUUGAAACUUGCCAGGUGGAUACAGUUUUAAAGAUUAAAUCAUGUAAGUGGUUGAUGUAGUUAUCAAUUUACAUAAGCCCUACAAAUGGCCAUCACUGCAAACCUCUCAGAUCAGCCUAGGAGACCAAGCGUUAGGGUGCUGAUUUAACCCACAAAACAGCAGAGCUUCAGAGACAUGAAUGUAUUGGUUCAGACCUGAUAAGUGGCAGAGAGUAAACGUCUAAUGGAUCUGAUUUUCAAUUUCUAAUAACCACGCUGCAGAAUUGCAAACUCUACAUCACCAAGAGAAGAAGCAAUGAUGUUAAGCCUAUCGGAAUGUUCUGCCUCCUAUCCUCAAGAUGAAUCUGAUCCAGGUCUAAAUGCUCUGGAACCAUCAAGAGCAAUGUGACCAUCGCCAUAAUGAUCCUUGUAAGAAAAUCUGGCAUUUUUCUUGGACUUCUUGGGCACAAAGAUGAAUUAGACAUAGUCAGAACCUCUAAGAACAUAGAGUUUGAAGGAGAAACAGAGGAGACUAAUUCCUGAAGGUCUCUCUCCAAGAAGCAGCACAUGGAGUACACAGGAGGAGAGCCCUAGGGAAGGACUGAGGAGGAGACAACCCUUCCAGCUGGAGACAACCAGAAGAAGAGAAAAGCCAUGAGACCCCAGGACUGUUGGCCUGGAAGGACAGCCUGCAGCAUGAGUGCUUGGGAUGGAGACCGCAUACAAGAUGCAUGGGAUUGACUAAGCAGUCUUCAUGUGCCUGGAAUCACAGAGCUGGAGCCUUACCUCUUCAAUCAAUUCUUUACCAUCAAAUGAGAUCACUCUCCAGCCUGAACAAGACAACAACAACAAAAAAUAAAUAAUAAAUAUGUUGAACCUA